Molecule: unclassified non-coding RNA, 183 nt
Filed under: uncultured Clavariaceae
Lineage: Eukaryota; Fungi; Basidiomycota; Agaricomycetes; Agaricales; Clavariaceae
Description: sequence contains ITS1
Source: RNAcentral
UUGAAAUCCUUAGGAUGUUGCUGGCCUUUCAGGGCAUUGUGCACUCCGCCUUCUUCAUCUCACCUGUGAACUUAUUGUAGGCCUGGAUGUUCAUGAAAUGUCUGUGUCUAUGUUAUUUUUACACACACCGAGUUUAUUAGAAUGUCUAAUGUUUAAGACCUUCACUGGUCAAAAAUAUAAUAA